RNAcentral lists this ribosomal RNA (292 nucleotides) under uncultured bacterium. Its description in RNAcentral is "partial 16S ribosomal RNA". It matches the Rfam family "Bacterial small subunit ribosomal RNA", at positions 505 to 796 of the family's 1533-position model. The record is from RNAcentral.
GUGCCAGCAGCCGCGGUAAGACGAGUCUCACGAACGUUAUUCGGAAUUACUGGGCUUAAAGGGUGCGUAGGCGGUGGAGUAAGUCGGAUGUGAAAUACCAUAGCUUAACUAUGGAACUGCACUCGAUACUACUUUGCUAGAGUAAGACAGAGGUGAGUGGAACUGAGGGUGGAGCGGUGAAAUGCGUUGAUAUCCUCAGGAACACCGGUGGCGAAGGCGACUCACUGGGUCUUUACUGACGCUGAUGCACGAAAGCUAGGGUAGCAAACGGGAUUAGAUACCCCCGUAGUCC